UCUUCUGUUGGAUUUUCUGUUUUGCAG
RNAcentral lists this non-coding RNA (27 nucleotides) under Cricetulus griseus (Chinese hamster). The record is from RNAcentral. Lineage: Eukaryota; Metazoa; Chordata; Mammalia; Rodentia; Cricetidae.